This 651-nucleotide ribosomal RNA is filed under the name Spyridia filamentosa. Its description in RNAcentral is "eukaryotic LSU rRNA". It matches the Rfam family "Eukaryotic large subunit ribosomal RNA", at positions 1264 to 1919 of the family's 3401-position model. The record is from RNAcentral. Lineage: Eukaryota; Rhodophyta; Florideophyceae; Ceramiales; Spyridiaceae.
GAAUCCGCCAAGGAGUGUGUAACAACUCCCCUGCGAAUGAAUUAGCCCUGAAAAUGGAUGGCGCUGAAGCGGGUAGCCGACACCACGCCGUCUGGACAAAGUGGUUUUUUCAGAUGAGUAGGAGGGCGUGGCGGUUGUAUCGAAGCGUGGAUGCGAAUCUGCGUGGAACAGCCGCUAGUGCAGAUCUUGGUGGUAGUAGCAAAUAUUCAAGCGAGAUCCUUGAAGGGCGAAGCGGGGAAGGGUUCCACGCGAACAUUGAUUGGGCGUGGGUGAGUCGUUCCUAAGCCGCGUGGCAAUAGCUAAUUACCGGCGAAAGGGAAGCAGGUUGACAUUCCUGCACACGGAUGUGGAGACGGCGACGAUACAUGAGGCGAUCACGCUGGCGGUGGCGCUGGGCAGAGUUGUCUUUUCUGUUUGACCAACGAAUACUUGCUGUGUGGAAUCCGCUUGUCGGGAGAAACACGCAAGUACGGGCAGAGCGCCGGGGCUUUUCCGGCGUCCAGCUCGCCACCGACGGCCCUUGAAAAAUUGCCUGCUGGACAACAUUUCGGUGUUGUGAGAUCCACGCCGUGGCGUACCGAUAACCGCAUCAGGUCCCCAAGGUGAACAGCCUCUGCUCAGUAUGAACAAUGCAGGUAAGGGAAGUCGGCA